UUAAGUUCAGCGGGUAGUCCUACCUGAUUUGAGGUCAAAAUUGUCAUUUGUAUUGUCCAAUUAAAGGACCAUUAGAAGCGGCAGCUAACCCAUACGAGAGCAGAAAACCAACCAGCGUAGAUAAUUAUCACACCGGGGCAAUUCCACUAGGGGCACCAGCUAAUGCAUUUCAGGGGAGCCGACCUCGUUAGAAGCCCGCA
RNAcentral lists this unclassified non-coding RNA (200 nucleotides) under Flammulaster sp. Its description in RNAcentral is "partial internal transcribed spacer 2". Lineage: Eukaryota; Fungi; Basidiomycota; Agaricomycetes; Agaricales; Tubariaceae. The record is from RNAcentral.